AUUGAACGCUGGCGGCAGGCCUAACACAUGCAAGUCGAACGGUAACAGGAAGAAGCUUGCUUCUUUGCUGACGAGUGGCGGACGGGUGAGUAAUGUCUGGGAAACUGCCUGAUGGAGGGGGAUAACUACUGGAAACGGUAGCUAAUACCGCAUAACGUCGCAAGACCAAAGAGGGGGACCUUCGGGCCUCUUGCCAUCGGAUGUGCCCAGAUGGGAUUAGCUAGUAGGUGGGGUAACGGCUCACCUAGGCGACGAUCCCUAGCUGGUCUGAGAGGAUGACCCGCCACACUGGAACUGAGACACGGUCCAGGAUCCUACGGGAGGCAGCAGUGGGGAAUAUUGCACAAUGGGCGCAAGCCUGAUGCAGCCAUGCCGCGUGUAUGAAGAAGGCCUUCGGGUUGUAAAGUACUUUCAGCGGGGAGGAAGGGAGUAAAGUUAAUACCUUUACUCAUUGACGUUACCCGAAGAAGAAGCACCGGCUAACUCCGUGC
This 491-nucleotide ribosomal RNA is filed under the name uncultured bacterium. RNAcentral's name for it is "partial 16S ribosomal RNA". It matches the Rfam family "Bacterial small subunit ribosomal RNA", at positions 30 to 508 of the family's 1533-position model. The record is from RNAcentral.